AAAGUUCUGAGAGUCUGUGGCUCAGCCAUCGUGACUAUGUAACCAGUAUUGGUCGGUGGCCCAAGGUCUCUCUCCUUUCAGGGUUCAACCUCCAACCUUAUUUCUGCUUCCUUCAUGUUGGAAUUCACACUGUGAGAAUUGUUGUCAUCCUUUCUCUACGACUCCAAGAGAAACUUUAUACUGGAGGAAGAAUAUUCUACCACUUUGGGAUGCUUCCAAAGAAAUGGGAUACCAAAGGAGUGAACUUCAGGUCAUUGGAAGUGGCCAAGCUGGAGGGCGACCUAUGGAGACAUGACCUUCAGUUCUUCCUGAGAUCGAUAAAGCUUAAAAGAAAAGAAAAAGCCAACUCAGCUUGUGCGUGGAUCCUGGACCUUGCUCUAAUACAGACCCCGCUCCUGGAGUGUAAGCCAUGCUUGACGGCUCAGCUUUCUUGUCACUAAUGAGGUGGGAUGUGGUUGUGCAUUCAAAAUCUAGCAAGGACGAAGUGAGUGCACCACUGAUUAAACAUGGAGAGAAAUUUCUUUCCAAAGGGCUGUGUAAGAGGAGAAGCAGGAGAUGUAUGUAAGAUUUCUCAUUUGUGCAAUGCAUCCUCUGAACCACUGUGAUGCCACGGGCUGCUGAACUUUCCACAGGGGCCAUUAGGGACGAAAUCACACCGAUGGAAUGAAAGGGAAAAUAACCAAAGACAACAGCAACAGCUCAAAACACCAGAAAAAGCAGCAACACUAUAUCUAUCCGUCACUGGCCCAACUCGACAUCUGGAAAAGAACCCAGAGUAGCUGCCAACCAGAUGGCCCCUUGGUGUAAGUGGGAGGAGGUACCUGUCCAGGCACAUGCAGCCCUACACAGGCUGAAUUUCAGGCCUCCUCGUGCAGGGAACCCUCUUCCCAGCUGUACAUGGUCCCCUGAGCAUUCGCAUGUAAUUCUCUCAUCUUUCCAGCCAUUCUUUUUCUCUUUCCUUUUUUUAAGGCCUGGCAGCUACCUUUUU
Molecule: long non-coding RNA, 988 nt
Filed under: Homo sapiens (human)
Lineage: Eukaryota; Metazoa; Chordata; Mammalia; Primates; Hominidae
Description: non-protein coding lnc-SREK1-1:3
Source: RNAcentral